AACGCACCUUGCGCCUUUUGGUAUUCCGAAAGGCAUGCCUGUUUGAGUGUCAUUAAAUUCUCAACUUCAAAUUUUGUUACAUCUUUUUUUGAAGUUUGGAUGUUGGAGGAUUAUGCAGGCAUAUAAUGUCAGCUCCUCUUAAAUAUAUUAGCAGAACUAUGUAGGAUCAGCUUUGGUUUGAUAAUCUAUGCUAUUGCUGUGAAACAAAGUAGUUCAGCUUCGAACUGUCUUCGGACUGUCUCAUUUAGAGACAUUGCUAUAAACUUGACCUCAAAUCAGGUAGGACUACCCGCUGAACUUAA
Molecule: unclassified non-coding RNA, 302 nt
Filed under: uncultured fungus
Lineage: Eukaryota; Fungi
Description: sequence contains ITS2
Rfam family: 5.8S ribosomal RNA (bases 1-52)
Source: RNAcentral